Long non-coding RNA from Paramormyrops kingsleyae, 2421 nucleotides. RefSeq lists it as uncharacterized. Lineage: Eukaryota; Metazoa; Chordata; Actinopteri; Osteoglossiformes; Mormyridae. The record is from RefSeq and is a predicted model, not a curated record.
ACUCCAUUUUCAGACCUUUGCCAAGCGUUUUGACACACAGUAGUAGAUGAGAUCCAUUAAUGUGUAUGACUGCGAUCCUGCGAGUCCUCCGUAGUCCGAAGUUUUAAAUUCACUAUAUGGCUUAACUCUCUACACUAGUAUGCUAGCUUAAUAAUUCUGUCUGUUCUUCAUUUUUAAGAGCCGUUUCAAAGUAAUAACACAGCGGGAAAUUUGUCCUUUGAGAGGAUUAUGGGCUCCCCUUUAACUUUUCAGAUAAUACAGCUGACGUUGUUGCUUAAUACGAAAAUGUAUUUGCGGACGUGCAGAGCUGGGACAAUUUCACCAUACACAGUUCGGAUAUCGCCCAACAAUAGGAGAAAGAAUGACGUGAAAUUACAUUUUAAAAGUGGUCAACCCCCCCUCCCAUCACUGUUUGCAAGAACAAGGUCAACUACAUAGAAUAUUGUCCAGGCCACGCCCCCAUCCCCCAGGUGAAAAACCCACUAAACCAGCUGCUCAUCGAGGGAUCUCGGCAACCAGAUGUGUGAGCAAUCGCUCUCUGAGUGAUGACUAUGGUGGUAGGUCUUUAAAAUCCAGCGGUUCUGAGUCUCUCUUUUUUCCACGUCUAAUUAAACUGGCAACUUCACACGCUUUCUUUUGACGGAAUUAAUUGUUCCGAAGCUAUGUCUUGACUACAUUCAAAUAAAUCAAUUUGUCAGAGUUUUAAAUUAAAGCUGCCAACGUCAGUGUUCGGCUCUACAAUGCUACACAGUUUAGAAUGUGUUAUCUGCUAAUGCAGAAAAUUAAUGUUCUUCAUUUCAGUAAUUACAAUUAUUAUUUUGUUUUAUUUUAGAGGUGUGACAGAAGCAGGAAUUAUCCUAAAUAUGUAAUAGAUAUCUUAACAUUUUAGAGCACAUACAAGCUACCAAUUAUAAAGAUAUUGCUCUAUAGAUCAUUUUGAUUAGGUAACAUUACCUCGCAGCAGUUUUAACACACAGUGAAUGAGAGAAACAUGUAUAGAGUUUUCUUCUCAUAUCAUCCAGUAGUAUAGAGUGUGUCCCAUUCGAGAGAUGUAUGAGCACUCCUGCAAAAAUUUGUAAUUAGUGGCCUUGCCAAUUCUACCUUUUCAAUGUGCAUGCUUACAAAAUACGAGCUACAGAAAAACAUGCUUCCGGAAAUAACAGAGGAAGAUGAAGAUGUAAUAAUAAUAAUAAUAAAUGUAUGUUUAUCUAUUAUUAUUUUGUAUGCUUUUGUUGUUCUUUUUGAGCCAUUUUCUGUGAGUUCUUUUAUUUCACAAGCAUCAGGGAGACGUCAAAGGAAUGGAGGCCAUCUUAGCAAGCGACGGCCAAGCACAAGAGACCCAAAUUCGCCACUCGCCCAAGUCUGUUUCAGUGUCAGAUAUGCUAUUCAUCUGCAUCUUCAAGUAGCAUCUGCUCUCUCUGCACUGCUGAAGACGUUUCCUCGGCAGACAAAUGGCGCUCGUGGGGGGGUAAUCGCGCGGCUCAAGCACGUCCAGAUGACUCAGCCAUGUGGUAGGCCGCAUUCCAGCAUGGCCCCCUCUGACCUCCACCCUUUGACCUCAAAACCCGGGGAGCCACGCUGGCAUAAGCUGGGGGCCAACUAGGCAUUUUCUGGAAAGAGGGACAGUAGAAAUAUCACGGGAGGUAAGUUGGCUAGCUGCUGACACAGAUAGCUGGACCCUCCCUACCGGCCUGGGAGAUGGUUUAACCCAGGACACUGAAACUCCAGGAAAAGCAAACGAUUGCAGAACGUUGGAAGCAGUCUUUAAAUCUCGCAGCAAUGACACAUAGGAGGCUGGCGGAGGAAGAAACGGAUUGAUCUCUGUUUGUCUACUGGGUGACAUUCGUUCAAUCAAAUUUAUGAAGUAAAUGCAAUUAUGAGAGGACCAGAAAACUGCUUUCUCAGUAAAGGCCAAGGAAGUUGUGCAAUUUGAAGUGUAUCUUUUGGCUUUGAUUUUUUUUUAUUGGUGCAUUUAAAGUCUCCGCAUAUGCUGUCAUAAAUAAAAUUAUCUACCUUCCUCCAAGCAGCGGGUGAAGAAUUUACACAAAGGUGAUAUGUUAGUGUUUUCAAUUUUCAAUGUUAUUUCCCCAAUAAAGCAGCAAAUAUAAUUUGUGCAGUCUAAUAUGAAAAGCUGUUUUUUGUGAAUUCCUUUUAUUCCCCCUUAGGUUCAUGAACCAUCACAAUAUAUAUGUAUAAAGUAUAUAUGUACAGGAUUCUGCAGAAGUCUUAGGCAGUCAAAGAAAAUGUUUAAAGCUAUUUAUCUGGGUAGCAAGUGUAUAUUUGAUCAGAAAAAAAUGCAGUUUAACAUUGGAACAUACGCGAAUUAACCAUAACACGAUAAAAACUAACAAGAAUUUCUUCUGUCCUGCAAAAAGUUACAGAUCUCUAUCUGGGCUGACAAUAAGAACAUCGCUUCAGUUC